GAAUGCUCGCAAUCAGUUUGACCGGGUGACACGUUUAUCUGACCCGCGGGGGGUUGGCACGGCCUCUGUCCUGCCCUCCCCCCCGUUGCCGGGUUGCCGGGCGGCGGCCGCGCGUGGCGCCGCUUCCGCCCGGCAAACACGAACCCCGGCGCCCUCGUGCGCCAAGGAACCCGAAAUUGUUCAGUGUGGCCCCGGGGGAGAGUUGGAGACAACGUCCCGCGGGUGCCGUCACCACACACGAAAAGAGAAUGACUCUCGGCAAUGGAUAUCUCGGCUCUUGCAUCGAUGAAGAACGUAGCGAAAUGCGAUACUUGGUGUGAAUUGCAGAAUCCCGUGAACCAUCGAGUCUUUGAACGCAAGUUGCGCCCGAAGCCACUAGGCCGAGGGCACGCCUGCCUGGGUGUCACACACUGCUAACCUCACGCAAAGGUCCGACUGACCGUUGGCCGGCGCGGGAUGUGUACGUUGACCUCCCGCGAGCUGCGACUCGCGGUUGGUUGAAAUUCGAGUCCACGGUCGGGUGCGCCGUGAUGAAAUGGUGGACGGGCGAAUGCUCGAGGCCGAUCACGCGCGACCCGGUCCGGUGCGACCCUUGGACCCCCGUGGCGUCUCCGGAUGC
Molecule: ribosomal RNA, 619 nt
Filed under: Grona filiformis
Lineage: Eukaryota; Viridiplantae; Streptophyta; Magnoliopsida; Fabales; Fabaceae
Description: eukaryotic LSU rRNA
Rfam family: 5.8S ribosomal RNA (bases 251-406)
Source: RNAcentral